CGUUAUUCACUGUUAAAUCACUUCUCAGUUUCUCUGGAUAUAAAGGGCUUGUCAUAUGCAACAAGAGGUGAUGUUCCAGGUCAAAUAGUAAGAGGGAGCUGGAGAUGUGGAAGAAAAGAAGCAAGGGGGACUUUAAGAAGAUAGGGAUCAGGGGUUGCCGCGAGGCCUCUGGGGUGGGUUCGCCAGGAGGGCAGGUUCGUGCGGCACCUCGGAGGGAGGCUGAGCGGGCCGCGCCGGGCGGCGGGUACACGGCGGUAUGGUCCUGCGCUCGGGAACGCGGAAUGUUCCCUGGUCGCCGCCGCGGUGGGGCGCGGGCCCGGAGGAGGCGCCCGAGGGACCAGGCCUUGCGGCGGGCAAGGACCAGGAGGCGAGCCCUGGAGCUCCGGAGCGGACGCCCCCAGGGAGCUGGGGACACCCCCAUGGGACAGCCCUUCCUGGACCCGGAGAGAGCAGCUGCUGCUGCCCCACCACCCGCCAGGCCCGGCCACUGAGCAGCCCCCCGGAACCCCAGAUCCUCGUUCCCCCCAGGUGGCCUGGGAGGUGGCCCCCUCGAGGAUGAC
RNAcentral lists this long non-coding RNA (560 nucleotides) under Homo sapiens (human). Its description in RNAcentral is "non-protein coding lnc-SMOC1-2:12". Lineage: Eukaryota; Metazoa; Chordata; Mammalia; Primates; Hominidae. The record is from RNAcentral.